AGGACGAACGCUGGCGGCGUGCUUAACACAUGCAAGUCGAACGGUGAAGCCCUUCGGGGUGGAUCAGUGGCGAACGGGUGAGUAACACGUGAGCAAUCUGCCCUUGACUCUGGGAUAACUUCGGGAAACCGGAGCUAAUACCGGAUAUGACACGCGAUCGCAUGGUCUGUGUGUGGAAAGAUUUAUCGGUCAGGGAUGAGCUCGCGGCCUAUCAGCUUGUUGGUGGGGUAAUGGCCUACCAAGGCGACGACGGGUA
This 256-nucleotide ribosomal RNA is filed under the name uncultured soil bacterium. RNAcentral's name for it is "partial 16S ribosomal RNA". It matches the Rfam family "Bacterial small subunit ribosomal RNA", at positions 26 to 285 of the family's 1533-position model. The record is from RNAcentral.